UAAUACAGAGGGUGCGAGCGUUAAUCGGAAUUACUGGGCGUAAAGCGCGCGUAGACGGUUUUGUAAGUCAGAUGUGAAAUCCCUGGGCUCAACCUGGGAACUGCAUUUGAAACUGCAUGGCUAGAGUAUCGAAGAGGGAAGUGGAAUUUCCGGUGUAGCGGUGAAAUGCGUAGAUAUCGGAAGGAACACCAGUGGCGAAAGCGACUUCCUGGUCGAAUACUGACGUUCAUGUGCGAAAGCGUGGGGAGCAAACAGGAUUAGAUACCCUGGUAGUCCACGCCAUAAACGAUGACAACUAGAUGUUGGGAGGGUCUGCCUCUCGGUGUCGCAGCUAACGCGUUAAGUUGUCCGCCUGGGGAGUACGGCCGCAAGGUUG
This 376-nucleotide ribosomal RNA is filed under the name uncultured bacterium. Its description in RNAcentral is "bacterial SSU rRNA". It matches the Rfam family "Bacterial small subunit ribosomal RNA", at positions 521 to 896 of the family's 1533-position model. The record is from RNAcentral.